GCGGGUUUCUCUUCAAUGACUUCUUGCGUUAGAAAUUUACGAAUAAAGUCGGCCGUUUAUAAUGUACAUUUAGAUAGCAAACAUGUGAACUAUCCAUCCGCUUGAUUAUUUUAUAAAAUCCUCGUUCCAUCCGUUUGAAUAAUAGGUAUUUAUAAAUCGAAAGGAUGCGAAUUAUCUGUUUAUCGUUAAGGACGCAAAAAGGGUUCCGCAUUAUAAAUACCACUUUAUCGCAUCAUUUGUUCUCAAUGCGUGUACGAGCAGCAAAAUGACAUCGGCGCCGACGAGGACCAAUAUUUCAAAGUGCGAGUGGUUGUUAAACGAAAUUCGAGAGUAUGUGCCAAACGGGUACACGAUCAUGUGCCCGUGUGCACAUAAUCUGGUUUAUGAUGAGAGGCGCGACAUUCUACUAUUUAUAGACCCCUUUUUUGGGGAUUACUAUAUAUGGGUUUUUACGAAUUCAGAACCCUCAGGAAGGGGAGUAGCAUUUGUGCGUGUAGGACCAAGAUACCAAUCACCUCGUCAAAGGAACUGCUACAAUCAAAAUCGUUGACAUCAGUCGUCCUCCUCGUCCUUCAAAAAAACUAAUGCAGA
Photinus pyralis (common eastern firefly) is the source of this 591-nucleotide long non-coding RNA. RefSeq lists it as uncharacterized. The transcript is spliced from 3 exons. NCBI's taxonomy places the organism in Eukaryota, Metazoa, Arthropoda, Insecta, Coleoptera, Lampyridae. The record is from RefSeq and is a predicted model, not a curated record.